Pelobates cultripes (western spadefoot toad) is the source of this 219-nucleotide non-coding RNA. The record is from the annotation of a GenBank genome assembly. NCBI's taxonomy places the organism in Eukaryota, Metazoa, Chordata, Amphibia, Anura, Pelobatidae.
GCAACAUGUCCCAGUAAUGAAACGUGAUUGAACAAGAUACAUUCCCUUUUGCUCCACCUUUUUUCAGUUCAGAGAAAAAACUAUCCAUACAAAUUAAAAAUUGUGUCCAUCUACUUCUUUGAAGAUUGAUUGACAAUGAAACAUUUUCCAUAGAAGCCUGCAAACUCUAUAUACUACAUAUCCUUGGUAAAGUGUACUUGCAGCGUGUGGGCAUUAUUC